UACGAAGGGGGCUAGCGUUGCUCGGAAUCACUGGGCGUAAAGGGUGCGUAGGCGGGUUUUUAAGUCAGGGGUGAAAUCCUGGAGCUCAACUCCAGAACUGCCUUUGAUACUGAAGAUCUCGAGUCCGGGAGAGGUGAGUGGAACUGCGAGUGUAGAGGUGAAAUUCGUAGAUAUUCGCAAGAACACCAGUGGCGAAGGCGGCUCACUGGCCCGGUACUGACGCUGAGGCACGAAGGCCAGGGGAGCAAACGGG
Molecule: ribosomal RNA, 253 nt
Filed under: uncultured bacterium
Lineage: Bacteria
Description: partial 16S ribosomal RNA
Rfam family: Bacterial small subunit ribosomal RNA
Source: RNAcentral